RNAcentral lists this ribosomal RNA (225 nucleotides) under uncultured bacterium. RNAcentral describes it as "partial 16S ribosomal RNA". It matches the Rfam family "Bacterial small subunit ribosomal RNA", at positions 943 to 1167 of the family's 1533-position model. The record is from RNAcentral.
GGUUUAAUUCGAUGAUACGCGAGGAACCUUACCCGGGGCUUGAACUGCAGGAGAACGAUUCAGAGAUGAUGAGGUCCUUCGGGACUCCUGUGGAGGUGCUGCAUGGUUGUCGUCAGCUCGUGCCGUGAGGUGUCGGCUUAAGUGCCAUAACGAGCGCAACCCCUCUCCGUAGUUGCCAUCGGGUGAUGCCGGGCACUCUGCGGACACUGCCACCGUAAGGUGUGA